RNAcentral lists this long non-coding RNA (9991 nucleotides) under Podarcis lilfordi (Lilford's wall lizard). Lineage: Eukaryota; Metazoa; Chordata; Lepidosauria; Squamata; Lacertidae. The record is from RNAcentral.
CACUCAGGAAGAACAGUCUCCACAAAAGGUCAGUGGAUGCAUAAGAUGGAAAGCUCUUCAAUGCCUCUUGAUUAUUUUAAAGUGCCAUUGUACACAGGGAUGUUGGGUAGAAUCAUAGGAUCAUUGGGUUGGAAGGGAACUUGGAAGGCAUCUAAUCCAAUCUACCACUGCAGGCAGGACCAGCAAUGCUGGAUGCACUUACAGCAUCCCUGACAGAUGGUCUACUAGUCUCUGUUUAAGUCCCUCAAGAGAAGAAGACCCAACCACCUCCCAGGGCAGUCUGUUCCAUUCUGAACAUUUCUUCCUGUUAGCAAGUGUAGCUCUCUUUCCCACUGAGAUUGUCUUGAGGUAUGACAGUAUUCUGCUGGUUCUCUCCAUUCCGUUUCCGUUAUGCUCACUAGAUCUGUGUUCUCCUUUAUAACCAAGCAUUCCAGCUUGCCCAUCUUAACUUUGGGGCUUCUAGCAUUAGCAUAGAAACAUCGGCACAUGGUGUCCCUUUCUUUCCAUCAUGUGCAUGUUUUUCCUGUCACCAUUUGGCCUCUUUGACUGGCUGUCAUAUUCUGCUGUAGGUUCUUGGCCUCUUUCCACAUGGUUCCCCUGGGGGUAGGGAGAGAACAUUUUCAUCCCUUAGGAAUGAUAAAUCCUGAAGUGAAUACUACUCCCGCUUCUGUUGGCUUUCCCCCAGAGAUCAUUUUUAAAAGAGUUCUAUCAACUUCUUGCUGUGCAGAACCAGCAGUUAAGUUCCAUUCUGUGUUCCUCUAGUGCCGCUGCUCCUUGAUGUUUGUAGUUGUUUUAAGAAUAUUUCCAUUUGAGUAUGACUCUUUCAGGAUUGUGUGAUAUCACCCUACACAUGACAAAAUAUAAAGGAAAAUCCAUGUGUUGUUUGUUAGAUUCGUCAUAAUGUUUAGUCACUGAAGUACUAUACACAUUUCAGUAAUGCCCAACUCUUGUAUCAGCUAUACAUGAGCAGGUUUUAAGUUCUGGGGGAAAAUAUUUGGCUUGAUAGAUUAACAGAGCACUACUGGUAUUGCAUAAAUAUCAAUAGAACUUGUACACAGACCACUUCUGAAAUGAUUCUGCUUCCUAAUUGCAACAAGAACUAAGCUGCAAGUUUCUUUAACAUUCACUCUAUAUCAAAGAACUUGUUUCCCAGUAUGUAACUAAGCAACCAAAUGUCCUUGUGUCUUCCACCAAUCAAAAGCUGGCCAUGCACAACGCUGCAUAUCAAAUAUGUGUCUGUUAAGCCAUAAAGAUCAGGCAGAACAAUGGAAAUGUGGAUGCAUGCAUCGUAGGAGAAGCUUUUCGGAAGGAUUUUCUAGGUGCUCCAAUUUUCCACCGGAUCUUUAUCGUUCUAUUAACAUGACUUUUCUGGGGGAAAGCAAUUGCCCAUUUCCAUGGUGUACAUCAUAUUUGCAAUGAACUAUCUCUAGUGUGUGACACUUUGUAAUAAUUGGCCUAAUCUUUAUUAAUUUCUCUGAUGUUCAUCGUAGUAACAUUAAUCAUUUGAUGCACUUUUGGUAUUAAUUUGAAUGUCAUAGGUACUUUCCUAGCAGUUCCAUUGUAAUUCCGGAUUAAUUAAUUUACUGUUCCUGCCAAUUUUGAUUUAAAAAUUAGACUUCUAGUACAAAAUCCACCUUGGCAGUUACUUCUUCUUUUUUUUACAUUUUUAAUUGCUGGUGCAAAUGCCAAGGGUAUGGUUAUCUUGUGCGGCUCCUGUUUCAACAAGAAUUUCACAUUUUAAUUUUAUUUAAAUGUCGACAGACAGAAAGUCCUUGGGGAAAUUGCAUAUAUACUAAAAGUUCAGAUUUGGGACAUGUCAGGGAUCUGCACCCUCCACCCUUUGUAUCUCAGGGAGCCUCUUCAUACCCUAAUGAAGAACACCCAUAGAAGGUGAGUUGCCAAAGUUCUGGUUAUAAGGGGGUGUACUGCCUAGCAAAAGCAACCAGGAGAUUAUGGCUUGCUGAAGCAGCCAAUAUGGUAAGACUCUUCUAGAACUUAGCUGCUGGUGAAAUUAAUGGGGGCCCAAAGACAUGAGCAUGAAGAGAUUGCUUGAAUUACAUUAUCCAUGAAGCAGUGGAAGGAGACAUUACUAAGGGAUAAAAUUGGCUUAAGAUGUGGCUUAAGAUCUAAAUGUAAUAGUAGUUGGAGAACAUGUUGCUGAACUUUUGUGAAUGCAUUGAUUAGGAUUCAUCCAUUAUUCUGCUGAAUUUACCAUAUUGGUUUGCUGACAGUACUGGAUUAGUUUGCUGACACUGAUAUAUUUGUUUGGAUGGCAAUAGUAUCACAGGAUAGAACAGGGAGUGGCUUGGGAAUCUGUUUACUGCUUUGCAGAAAGUAUUAUAAAAGGAACAGUUAAAAAAGGAACACCAAUCUGUUCCAGUUGUUUUAAGUUUAAAACAAGGUGAUACAUAGGCUUUCAAAAGGGACGUCCUGGUAAGUUAUUCCAGGACAGUCUGCCUGUUCUGCUGGUGAAGACUUACCCUGGACUAACAGGAAAAGGUCUAUGGCUCACCUGUAAAUGAUGAUCAGAGGGACAGAUCAUCCCACUUUACUGUAGGUGUCAAGAGCAAGCAGUGAGUCAUCAUCAUUUGAUAAUUAUCUCCUCUUGUGGCUAGAUCCUUGUGAACAGAUUUAUUGUAGUUGAGGUGACAUGGACAAGUUUAUUGUAGCGGAGCCUUCUGAGUGUACUGGGUCGUACUUGUUAUUAGGUGUACUAGAUCGUACUUGUCAUUAUUGUAAUGUCAAAUAAAGUUGAGUUGUCUCAUAUCCCUUUGGUGGUUUUCAACCCUUAAACUAUCCUGUGUCAGUGCUUUUACUGCUUCUCCCUUCUACCUCUUUUCCCUGUUUCUGCCCACAAGAAGACAGUAAUGAUUGCAUCAUGAGAUUGUACAUUCAUUUAAGUGCAGGAAGUCCCCGAAUCUAUGGUAUAGAACUGCUUCUAGUAGACAAAGCAUAUGAUUUUGAGUCCAGCUCUUGUUUUUGACCAGUUCCUGGAGAGGGCUUCCCACAGACAUCUGGUUGGCCACUGUGAGGAUUACGAACCAGACAGGCCUUGCGUCUAAUCCAGAAGAACUUUUGGGCUCUUAUCUCAGAGUGUGGGGAAGCAGGGAAGAAACAAGCACUGGGAUUCUAAGUAACUAUCAUCUUCAAGUAUAAUAAACUCCAGGCCAGUUUAUGCCAGUCUCCUUGGUGAUGUCCACCAAGAGAGAGUUAAACGCACAGGCAUUUAUUUUAUUGGUCGAAAAAUAAAUGCUACAAGUAAGCAGAAAUGAAAGUGGUGUGGGUUUACCACUUUCUCCAGCAAUGAUGGCAGGAGCUGUCUCUGACAUAUUUUAUUCCCUAAAAAAUGUUUUCUUUUGCUUUUGGCAGUGGUAAAUAUGAUACAGAAGCAUUAUCACCGGCUCCUGGAAAUACACUGGCAAAUUGAUGGCAUUUGACCACCAGAUGCUUACUUAAAAAGUAACUGCUGGAGAAAAUGAAGGAGAGCUGACCAUCUAUGAGGUUUAUUGAGGCGGCUGACAUGCUCCAAAAGCAGGUGGGCGUGAAGCUUGAAUGGUUUACAACCAGCAAUAACAAGACUGAAAAUACAUCUUAAUCAUGUAAUCUCCCACCACGUGAUCCUAUGCCUGAGGUGAAGGUGAUGGGGAUCAUUCUGUUAGGGCAAGCUGGUGCCUUUCCAGGCAGAUUACUGGGCAUAUUAACACAGAAGAAAAAGGAUUGCUUUGCACAUGACGUAAGGGAGAAAGGAGGUUAUGCAGCACAAGCCACAGGAGGAAAGAGAUCAGCCCCAGAGCCACAAAGGCGAGGGACAUGUGGAAAGCCUUGUGGCUAAUCAGGGUGUACCUGCAGUGAAUUUACCUUGAUUUGUCCAGAGGAAAUGUGAAAAGGAAAGUGAAAGUGUCUCAAAGAAAACAGUUUCUGUUGAGAUAAAGCAGAAUUGGAAGCCUUAGUCAAAAAGUUGUAUUUGUGGAUUAAGCAUGCAUGGGAUUAUUUUAGAUUAAGUUUUUUUUGUAUCUCUGUUGAAAGCUGUGGUCUGUCCUAAGCCUUUUGGACAGGGCACUCUGAAAAUGAAAACAUAAAGAGUUAUACGUGUAUAUCCACAUAAGGUCCCAAGCUGGGGAUUUGGACACAGAAGAGUUUGUCAAAGCAGGAAGGGUCAAAAGAGGCCGCAUGAAAGGCAGACAAGUGAUUCUUGAAGCAGCUUUUAGACUGCUCUCUUAUAGUGAGAUGUUCUGAUGUUUUUGUUUUCAUUUGCUUUAGAGUAAUCUUAACUUUUUGUAAACUAGCGUGGAACUUGUUAAAAGUAUGGAGUAUUAAUCCCUAAUGUGCAUAAAAGGCAUAGAACAAAUAUGUAAGGUAUCCUUGCUAAACUCAAAGGCUUUUCCUAUGUCCAGAGUUGUGUUUCAGUUAUUUCACAAUGAAUCCCUGACAAUGUUUUAAUAUUGUUUUGGCACUGCUUCAAAGAAAGAAAGCUCCACAGUAUAUGUUGUGCAUCAAGCCUCUUCAUGUUAAUGGCUGGGACCACUUAUUAUACUCAGAAGUGUGUCCCACUCAGUUCAAUAGCACUUCCUUCUAGGUGAGUGAGGAUAGGAUCGCAGGCCGAUUAAGAUGAGGAUGAGAUCAAGUUGGGGCUAUAAAACUGCUUUUGGCCUUUGGUGAAGUGCAGGGCUAUCCUAUGCAUUUUUACUCAGAGGGAAGCCCCAGUGUGUUAAAUGGGACCUUCUCCUGAGCAAGUGUGUGUUUAGAGUCACUUAACAUGAGGAAAACACCACUGGAGAUUGUCUUCUGUAGCUAUAAGCAGUCAGGAAACAGAGGACAUCCUCAACCAUCAAGGCAUUUCUAAAAAAGAUGAAAAGCAAAAAUACAUUGAUUGCUUUCCUAUAUGACAGCAGCGGUCCUAUGUACAUGCGUAAUUCAUAAUGGAAUGAACUGACAACCUACAGCUCACUGAUUUAUAGAUACGAGACAUGUGAUACUCUGGAUUUUUAAAAAUUAAAUAAAUAACCUGAUAAAUACAUAAAUAAAUGGACAAAGCAUUUAGGGUGUGUUGCUCAAGCUACUAAGAACACUCUUUAGCCAUCCAGCUAGUUCUCUUCUUGAAAAUAGCAAUUUGUUGUGUAACUUAAUUUUUCUUCACUCUGCUUGUGCACUUUUCAAGUUAUUUCAUCAUCAGCCAUUUUUUCCAAGAGAGCAGAAAUUCUGGACAAAAUCUCUUUUAGUUUAACCCUCAGUGGCAGAUUUACAGAUAUGUGCAGUAGGAGCAAGAAAUUGGGCCCCGUAAUAACGAAGUUAUUAGCAUACAUUGUUAACUAAGAGGAUACCUUUGAAAAUUGUCUACAUUUGAAGAAAAACAAGAGCCUAAGGAAGGUACUAAGGUGUAUAAACAAGACUUUAAGAUUGCCAAGGUCGAGAUAUACUGGGAUUAUAAGUGAAGCUAUUUUCUUUGAUUUCUGGACAUGUUAUUAUCCAACUGGAUCUGUAACUGUAUAUUAUAAUAGUACAUAUUUUCUAGCAGACAUUGGUGGUACUCGGAGAUAUUAUGGUUGUACUUUAGGAUACAGUUGAAUUAAUUGACUUUAAAGGUAAUACUCUGUUUGAAAAAUACUCUGUCUGAAAAAAAGGAAAUACAAUAGAAAGUGAUAUAAAAGAAACUGUAAGAAUAUAAAAUAAGAAAAACAAAAUCGCACGGGUGUAAUAAGGUAAAUUAAAGGAGAGUAGUUAAGACAUAGAAAAAUAAGAAUAACAAAACAAAAACCAAAAAAAAGAUUGUGCGCCCCUCAGUAUAUUAAUAUGGUAUAUUAACUAAUGGUCUGAGAUAUCAAAUAGGUAGAGCCAGGAUAAAAAUUGUGCAAAUUCUUGAGGAUUCUAACUCUAGCUCCAAACUAGAUGUUAGUGAGAAACAUGAUGGUUAGUUUCAAAAACUUAAUUUGCAUCACAUAGGAUUAGUGUUGCAGUGAAGCUGUUCCUAUUUCAUUAUUAACGGUACAUUUCUUAAGCAGGUAGCAAUCUUUUUAGAAAGGACAACUUUAUUGGCCAUUGAAGCAGAAUUUCUCAAGUUUGACAUUCCUUGGUUCUUAGUAUUGAAAAUGUCCUAAUAACUCUUAGCAUUUAUGUAGUGCGUUAGAGAAUCCAAAGUGCUUCACGUAUGUCUGCUUCGUAAUGCUAUGAACCUCUUUUCCCUUGCCUCAGUUUGUUCCUGUCUGACCCUACCAGUUAAACUGCACAUAUCACAACAAUAUUCAACAUGCUUUGUUACUACUUAGAAUGUGUAGUUUUGUUACUACUUAGAAUGUGUAGCUUUGUUUAUUACAUGUAAGACAUGUCUUCCUUAUUUAUGAGCACAGAAAGGUUACUAAAAUGAGUAACAGAAAUAUAUUUAUACUUUCCAUAACUUGGAUAUAAGCAUAAGAGGAAAUGGAAGUAGGCAAUGAUUCAAGCAGAUGGGAGAUCAUACCAAAAAAGGGUGUGGGCCAUCAGGAAACAGCAAGCAAAAACAUGCUUGUUGACAUUCGGUAAUGCAACAUAAUACACAGUGCUCUGGAAAGAAAUUUUUUAAUAUGGUGCCAUACUAUAGCCAAAACCAUCUCCCUUGUCCUUGAUGGAUUACACAAAUUUCCCUCUGUCUAAAAGCCCAUAAUUUCAUUUCCUAGACCCCAGAGUGAUGUGCUUCUUCAGCAUGACAUACUUUCCUAUGGCCUUUUAUUCUAAUUUUCUAUAAUUAUGAUCAUCAUUACUCACUGUGACAAGGGGCACUACUGUCCUACUUCUGCCAUUCUGCUCAGUUCAGACAGGGCACCCUUCUAAUUUGCCAUGGCCAGUGAUGAUAUCACCCUGGUGUGCUGACUGUCAGGAGCCUAUUCAAGGAGGGCAUUGAUGGAUGGACAGCUGAAGCACAGGAGUGGAUGAGCCAAGCCUGCUGUGCCAUCCUCAGAAGAGCCCUUUUCAAGGAGGGCAGGAGAACCCUUCCUUCCACCUCAAGGAAGAAAAGGAAACUGGAGGCAAACAAGCUGUGUUAGCCAGGGAGGUUGACCCUGGUCACAGGACAGAGAAGCUUUCCAGGCUGCUCUGGCUUGGUCAGGGUAAGGCAAGCUGAAUCCUACCUUGUCCAUGAUGUUAACUCCCUUGAAGUAACAAAGACUUGGUGAGGACAGAGAGCCUAAACCUUAGUGGUGUGUACUUCUCCUGGAGGAAACUCAUCGAUCCAUAUGAAGUAGAAAUCUUCUCAGUUCCCAGCCCUCAGAUCAUGCUAUCCCAUAAAUCAGGCUUCCUCAACCUCGGCCCUCCAGAUGUUUUUGGCCUACAACUCCCAUGAUCCCUAGCUAGCAGGACCAGUGGUCAGAGAUGCUGGGAACUGUAGUCUCAAAACAUCUGGAGAGCCGAGGUUGAGGAAGCCUGCCAUAAAUAAUUCAGAUGUUCCAUGAUCUAUCUCCCAUAACCAGCAAGGAAAAACUAUGCAUGGAUACUGGCCUCAUUUGUAUCAGCACAUUGCAAAAGAGACUAGUGCUCAGUAUGUCAGAUGACCCAGGCUGGUAAUUGAGUUUAAAGGUGGGAUGAAACUGCACUCAUCCUCCAAGCGCCAAAGGAUCAGAGUUGUGGCCUGAGGAACCUAGAAGAAUACUGGAUUGAAACCUAAAUAACGCUGACAAAUGCAGGAUCACAGAAAAUGGAUUUGCCUAAACAACAAAACCAAGAACUUACUUUCUCCAUGCCUCCCAGAAACCCAGAGCAAGAGCAUUUGUUUAAAAACAAUGGCAACAGACAGCGCUUCAGUAUAUGGAAAAAUAAGUGUUUGGACAUACUGACAAUAAACAGGACCAGAUGCUAUGCAUCAGUUGCACCUGACAAUCUUGGAAAUGACUCAUGGGAGAACAUUUCAAGUUAGUCAGAAGAAAUACAAAAUUGUUAGACACCAGAUCAGUACUUCAACUUCUGCAGUGUUAGCACUUUAAGGUAGAGAAGCUGCAUCCAGAUUUAUACCAUUUGAAGAUUUGGCAGGUAGCAGCCAAGAAAUAGAAUUCAUCUUCACUGGGCAUAAUAAUACGUCUAAAGAUAUCUUUCUAUAGCAAUUGUGCCAUCUCAUUAUGAUCCGUUAUCCACUUUCAUUUCUCAUUCCAUCUAUUAUUAAAUUAGGUUGUUCAACAAUGUAGCUAUUACGAAGUUAUGGACUUCCAUGUCCCCUUUCAAGGCAAAAAGGCUCUCCAAGAUUUUGCAAUUUGGAAUUUCAGGUCUGCCACUGCAGCUAAAGUGGAUGAUAACAAAAUGCAGCUUGAUUUACAUUUCAAAGCUUUCACUGAAUAUAAAGCCGCUCUAUUGGCCUUUAAGCACUAUAUCAUCUGUGUCAGGCAUAUUUAAGCAAAUUGUUGGCUCUGUUAAUGCCAUAUUGAACACUACAAACUGCUGAUGUAGUCUUUAUGGCUACAUCGUAAGCUACAUAAGCUGAAAUUGUGUUAGUCUACAUAGUGUUUAGCUAUGCUCCUUAAAGAAAUGGAGCUAUCAUUUCUACCUGGUUUUCAGCAUUGUCCAGCUAUCUUUGUCAUCGUUUUGUCAUUAUCACAUCUUUUCUGAUGUCCUUCUAGUCCAGCACUCUGUUCUCACAGUGGCCAACCAGUUGUCCAUGGGAAGCCCAUCAGCAGAAUCUGCUAUUAUGGGCUGUGUCCGUAAGACACUGGACUCCUGAUUAAGUAAAACACACAGUCCCAAAACCAUAGAACUUUGCAUUUUUCUCCUUCAGUAAACAUGGUUAGUUCUCUUGUCAAUAUUUAUAUGUAUAAGUGUUGUCACAUUUUGCCUGUGCUGAAUGAUUAUCUAGGUGCUUCACCAAAGUGCAUGUUUCUGCAUGAAGACCUUUCACCUGCCGAACAGAUGAUCAGCUUUCACAGCACUGAUGACUUGUUUGGGUUUAAGGAGCAGGUUGUCUCCCGAGACAGAUGGAUGCCAACAAACCAGGAACUUGCCACACCCUGACUCUCCAAACAGCUGAUCAGCCCUUUCCAAGUGCCAACCAUCUGUUCAACAAUGCAUAGAGUUCUGAAUACAGGAUUCUGCCCCCAUCCCCGCUUUCCAAUGCCGAAUUCUUUAGUCUGUGCGAAAUUUGAUCAAGGAAGGUGAUUUUCCAAUAGAAUUCUGUUAGCUCUCAGAAAGAUCACUUUUUCUGGUUUGGAAUGAUUGCAGGCUUAGCAAAAAUCUGUGACCAUCCCAAGCACUAUAUUGACAUAGGGCUACAUGGGAAAUAAUACAACAUUCAAACAUGUAACAGUGUCUGAUCACUAUAGUAAAAAUGGAGCAACUGCAAUGAAAAUAUAUAUAAUUUUCUUUCAUAUUCAUAACCAUAUUCACACCUUGCCUGUGGGGAAUGGACAUUCAUGUGUUAAGCUAAAACAGAUAACAGUGAACACGUGUUGAGGUAAUUGCCAAAAGAGGCUCUGGUCAACACAAGUAAUCAUGAAAAUUUUUUCAGAAGACAGGUUGCAGGCAGGGAUAUAAGAGCAGGCAACAAUGUAACAGGAGUCAAACUUUCCCCAUCCAUUGAUAUGCAAAAUGGGAGAAGAAAGAUUGGUUCUUAACAGCAAUCUAAUAAAUCCAGAAAUAAGUAAAGUGGUAAAAAUUCAAUGAUGUGUGAGUUAAAUGUGUGAAAGAACAUUUCUGUCAUUUCAGGAUUCUGUUCCCAUUUGUUGCCAAACGCCUCAUACAUUUUGUGUUUUAUUUGUUAAAAUUUGAUUUCUUCUCAUUUGUUUUUGUUAAAAUCCCAUUUCCUUCAUGUCUUGAUACUUUUGUUUCCUGUUUAUUUUGUCACCUGCAGACAUCCGUCCAAGGUCCAGGUUGGACAGGAUCCUAAACACCAACAAAACAGCAGAAUGCAACAGAUGGGCAUGAUUUGACUUCUGUUUGUGCCUAUUAGUUUCCCUCUGGGUUUGUUUUGGAUCAAAUAGAAAUUCAACUGAAUAGACACCAUUCAAUUCUAUUUUCCAUUUGUCAAAUAAAUACACACUCC